AAAAUAGGCAGCUAUCUACUUUUUCAUGCUUCAAGCCAGGUUUAAUGGGCUUAAAUGUGAGAAGACAUGUUAUAAAACAUACUUUUGAAUCCUAAUCUACAAACCUAAACUUUUACAUUAAAUGGCUCACUAGCUGCAAAGGUUGUUACUGUGAAUACUUGAUUUACAAUGCAAAAUCAGGGACCAACACAUUAAAAACAUUGAUGUACAAAAAGCAAAUGGAGCUCCAAUUAUUUGCAUUGGCAUUAGCAGCAAAAAUUUCCCUAAGGAAAAGGUAAAAAAUUCAGUGUAUCCAAAAGUGGGUCAAAGGCAUAAGACACACUAAGGCCAAAGG
This 334-nucleotide unclassified non-coding RNA is filed under the name Hevea brasiliensis (rubber tree). The record is from RNAcentral. Lineage: Eukaryota; Viridiplantae; Streptophyta; Magnoliopsida; Malpighiales; Euphorbiaceae.